RNAcentral lists this long non-coding RNA (250 nucleotides) under Solanum tuberosum (potato). RNAcentral describes it as "long non-coding RNA (STUB_LNC008457)". The record is from RNAcentral. Lineage: Eukaryota; Viridiplantae; Streptophyta; Magnoliopsida; Solanales; Solanaceae.
UUACUAUCAUUCAAUAUUGUUUUAUUUGUAAGAAAGUGCAAUUACAUGUAUAUAAAUACGAACUAUAUCAUAUAAAGUUAUAGUCUAAACUUGUAUAUGUUACAGUUGUUCGUUCCAACACUUUUUGGAGAAGAAUCCUUCAAAGAAUCUUUACACGAACAUUAUUGGAAUUGACUAAGGGAGAAAGAGAAGAAGCAAAAGAUGUGUCUGUUCUUUUGAAGUUGUAGAGAAUGAAAAGAUACGUUGGUUU